Molecule: ribosomal RNA, 2043 nt
Filed under: Escherichia coli
Lineage: Bacteria; Pseudomonadati; Pseudomonadota; Gammaproteobacteria; Enterobacterales; Enterobacteriaceae
Description: partial 23S ribosomal RNA
Rfam family: Bacterial large subunit ribosomal RNA
Source: RNAcentral
AUAAUGGGUCAGCGACUUAUAUUCUGUAGCAAGGUUAACCGAAUAGGGGAGCCGAAGGGAAACCGAGUCUUAACUGGGCGUUAAGUUGCAGGGUAUAGACCCGAAACCCGGUGAUCUAGCCAUGGGCAGGUUGAAGGUUGGGUAACACUAACUGGAGGACCGAACCGACUAAUGUUGAAAAAUUAGCGGAUGACUUGUGGCUGGGGGUGAAAGGCCAAUCAAACCGGGAGAUAGCUGGUUCUCCCCGAAAGCUAUUUAGGUAGCGCCUCGUGAAUUCAUCUCCGGGGGUAGAGCACUGUUUCGGCAAGGGGGUCAUCCCGACUUACCAACCCGAUGCAAACUGCGAAUACCGGAGAAUGUUAUCACGGGAGACACACGGCGGGUGCUAACGUCCGUCGUGAAGAGGGAAACAACCCAGACCGCCAGCUAAGGUCCCAAAGUCAUGGUUAAGUGGGAAACGAUGUGGGAAGGCCCAGACAGCCAGGAUGUUGGCUUAGAAGCAGCCAUCAUUUAAAGAAAGCGUAAUAGCUCACUGGUCGAGUCGGCCUGCGCGGAAGAUGUAACGGGGCUAAACCAUGCACCGAAGCUGCGGCAGCGACGCUGAUGCGUUGUUGGGUAGGGGAGCGUUCUGUAAGCCUGCGAAGGUGUACUGUGAGGUAUGCUGGAGGUAUCAGAAGUGCGAAUGCUGACAUAAGUAACGAUAAAGCGGGUGAAAAGCCCGCUCGCCGGAAGACCAAGGGUUCCUGUCCAACGUUAAUCGGGGCAGGGUGAGUCGACCCCUAAGGCGAGGCCGAAAGGCGUAGUCGAUGGGAAACAGGUUAAUAUUCCUGUACUUGGUGUUACUGCGAAGGGGGGACGGAGAAGGCUAUGUUGGCCGGGCGACGGUUGUCCCGGUUUAAGCGUGUAGGCUGGUUUUCCAGGCAAAUCCGGAAAAUCAAGGCUGAGGCGUGAUGACGAGGCACUACGGUGCUGAAGCAACAAAUGCCCUGCUUCCAGGAAAAGCCUCUAAGCAUCAGGUAACAUCAAAUCGUACCCCAAACCGACACAGGUGGUCAGGUAGAGAAUACCAAGGCGCUUGAGAGAACUCGGGUGAAGGAACUAGGCAAAAUGGUGCCGUAACUUCGGGAGAAGGCACGCUGAUACGUAGGUGAAGUCCCUCGCGGAUGGAGCUGAAAUCAGUCGAAGAUACCAGCUGGCUGCAACUGUUUAUUAAAAACACAGCACUGUGCAAACACGAAAGUGGACGUAUACGGUGUGACGCCUGCCCGGUGCCGGAAGGUUAAUUGAUGGGGUCAGCGCAAGCGAAGCUCUUGAUCGAAGCCCCGGUAAACGGCGGCCGUAACUAUAACGGUCCUAAGGUAGCGAAAUUCCUUGUCGGGUAAGUUCCGACCUGCACGAAUGGCGUAAUGAUGGCCAGGCUGUCUCCACCCGAGACUCAGUGAAAUUGAACUCGCUGUGAAGAUGCAGUGUACCCGCGGCAAGACGGAAAGACCCCGUGAACCUUUACUAUAGCUUGACACUGAACAUUGAGCCUUGAUGUGUAGGAUAGGUGGGAGGCUUUGAAGUGUGGACGCCAGUCUGCAUGGAGCCGACCUUGAAAUACCACCCUUUAAUGUUUGAUGUUCUAACGUUGACCCGUAAUCCGGGUUGCGGACAGUGUCUGGUGGGUAGUUUGACUGGGGCGGUCUCCUCCUAAAGAGUAACGGAGGAGCACGAAGGUUGGCUAAUCCUGGUCGGACAUCAGGAGGUUAGUGCAAUGGCAUAAGCCAGCUUGACUGCGAGCGUGACGGCGCGAGCAGGUGCGAAAGCAGGUCAUAGUGAUCCGGUGGUUCUGAAUGGAAGGGCCAUCGCUCAACGGAUAAAAGGUACUCCGGGGAUAACAGGCUGAUACCGCCCAAGAGUUCAUAUCGACGGCGGUGUUUGGCACCUCGAUGUCGGCUCAUCACAUCCUGGGGCUGAAGUAGGUCCCAAGGGUAUGGCUGUUCGCCAUUUAAAGUGGUACGCGAGCUGGGUUUAGAACGUCGUGAGACAGUUCGGUCCCUA